AUUGGACGCUGGCGGAAUGCUUUACACAUGCAAGUCGAGCGGCAGCACGGGGGCAACCCUGGUGGCGAGCGGCGAACGGGUGAGUAACACAUCGGAACAUGCCCAGUCGUGGGGGAUAACACUUCGAAAGAAGUGCUAAUACCGCAUACGUCCUGAGGGAGAAAGCGGGGGAUCGCAAGACCUCGCGCGAUUGGAGUGGCCGAUGUCAGAUUAGCUAGUUGGUGGGUAAAGGCCUACCAAGGCAACGAUCUGUAGCUGGUCUGAGAGGAUGAUCAGCCACACUGGGACUGAGACACGGCCCAGACUCCUACGGGAGGCAGCAGUGGGGAAUUUUGGACAAUGGGGGCAACCCUGAUCCAGCCAUUCCGCGUGAGUGAAGAAGGCCUUCGGGUUGUAAAGCUCUUUCGGCAGGAACGAAACGGUGAGCUCUAACAUAGCUUGCUAAUGACGGUACCUGAAGAAGAAGCACCGGCUAACUACGUG
RNAcentral lists this ribosomal RNA (483 nucleotides) under uncultured bacterium. RNAcentral's name for it is "partial 16S ribosomal RNA". It matches the Rfam family "Bacterial small subunit ribosomal RNA", at positions 30 to 507 of the family's 1533-position model. The record is from RNAcentral.